RNAcentral lists this long non-coding RNA (2608 nucleotides) under Danio rerio (zebrafish). RNAcentral describes it as "lncRNA lnc.181 (ENSDARG00000117281.1)". Lineage: Eukaryota; Metazoa; Chordata; Actinopteri; Cypriniformes; Danionidae. The record is from RNAcentral.
GCUUCAUUCCCGCGGUUCAAAUCAGAUAAGAUACAACAUGUUUGCAGUGACUACUCGUCUAAUUUGUCGGUAUGAUAGCGCCAUGUGUCUGGUUAGUUUAAAAAAAAUGACGGCUAGGGCUGGAUAAUGAAAUAACAGCACCCUUUAUCGUCAGUUAAAAGAACAGUAGGCCUAAAUUAAACUCUAAAGACUUUAUUUACACUAAAUACGACCUAUUUUGGAGGACUUGCUGAUGUAAUGUCCCACCUGCUUACAUUAUCCAAAUGUCCUACAUUUAGACAGACUGACAGUUUAGAUGAGGUAGUGAAUGAGUUGUUUCUGUCUCUUUGAAAAAUGUGCUCAAGGUCUUCAGAAACUCCUUCAUAUGUCUUCGGUCGCCCAGAGAUAUGGAUUAAUGGCUUGUUGUCAUCUGUGGGCACUGUGUGGUUCUAAACACGUCAGAUGUGGUGGUGUUGGAGCAAGGACUGACCUGCAGCUGGGCUGAAAGAAGCGUGACUGACAUGUGCCUUACAUCAGUGGAGGAUGAUGGACAAGAGAUGCAGCUCAGCCACAUUCCUUCUCUCUCUCGCUCUCUCUGUGAACCAGAGCGAGGUGAGCGAGGACUGAAGCGUCGCUCCAGUUCUGUCCUGUUCCCAGCUCUCCUCUCUCCCACACAGAGACCCACACCCAGCCCAGUCCAUCUGCACCGACAGGCACCUCAGCUGGGCGAGCGGCAGCACCAGCCUCCCUCUUCUGUUCAGACUUCAGCCAUGCCAACAAAGUGCCUCCAGCACUUAAAGCCCCAAGCGUUACAGAUGAAGGCAGAUCCGCUGUAGUGACACCGUUCAUCAAGAGAGCCGCUUUACGUGGGCUCCGUUUGUUUGCUGCACAGAGAUGUGCUGAGUAGCUGGCCGUCUUUAAUGUGUGCAGACGGCGACGGAGAGACAUGAGCCAAUCCAGCCAUCUUGUACUGAGGAUUCAGGGCUGGACAAGCGUUUGCCAUCUGUAGCUGCGGCAAUGCGUGAGUCUGCAGCCAGCCCACAUUGUGUCAGCAGCAGCCCUGGUACUGAGAAUUUUUUUUUUUUCUUUUUUAAGAUGGCUUUCGAGAUGUCUCACCCCUUUCUGUUGUACACUAUCACCCACUAAUGGAGCAUGAACUUUUAUGGGGUGACAUCAAUUACUUCAAAAGAUUUAAUGAGUGUAAAUGAUUUAUCUUAAGUGCAAAAGAGGAACCGGGAAAGAGCUCAUUAUGUAGUCAGUGAUUAUCACCUGCAUAUUAAGUGUUGUUAAUAGUUAUGGAAAUCCUUGGGUUACACUACACUGGAAGUGUCAUUGUGGGGGCUCAACAUGCCUGAAAAUCUUCAAUAAUGAGGCCAUUGUUUGGGCAGAAAUUGUGAACGUUUAUUUUUAAGCAUUUAAAAUGAUAGCUGGAGUGAGCGCUGGGAUAUUUAAACACUUUGUGACGGUGACAUCAUGAUGGACUGUUUACAUUAUAAUGUCUGAUAUCAUAAAAUGUCUUAUUUGUUUUAUGCAACAGUUAAACAUGGCUGCUCACUUUCAGAAGUUGUAGUGAUGUUUACUUUUCCAGGAAAUAAUAUGAAACAUAUGUUGGUUAAAACAUUUUAAAUGUAAACAUUACCAUUCACCAGAGUAAUGCUGAGGUCAAAGAGCUUAGAAUGACCAAGAGGCGACACUCAAUAGAAUGUUCCAUUGCAAAAGCAGCGCCCAGCAACAUUCCCGGAUUCCGCCAUUUUGGAGUGAAUUCGAUCGGCUGUCCAUCAAAUCUUAUUGGUUUCAUGAUGGCAAGCAGAUGCUUGGUUUUUUAUUUAUUUUAAAAAAGAGCAUUAAAACUGAGAUACAACCUGAAAGACGACAAUAAAACACUUACUAUCACAAUCAUCUGCACUUUUAAUAGUUUAUUUUGCAGAUUUAUAAUAUGCUGUUGCUUUAUUGGAAUUUUCAUUCCAAAAUGGCCGCCGUGCCAUCUAGUGGCUGUUUCCCAAAUCGCACUGGAGUGUCGCCUCUUGGUGAUUCUAUGCUUUUUUGAUUUUUAAGGCUUGGUUGUGUUUAUAAGAUGCAAAGCAAUGUGUCACAUCACAUUAUUUUUUAUAUAUCUGACUUUGAUUAUAUGCUGCUACUCAGCUAACAUGAAAAUGAUUGUCAUAUUUCCUUGUUUCUCCACAAGACCACCCUCAAGAGGCUUUGAUUGGUCAGCUAACAUAAUGUGAUUAGUGAAUUUGCUCAAUGCCUCCAAUAGCACAGUGUAUGCCUCUUUUGUGUCAGUCAGAGUAGCUGUUAGCUGUAUCAGUUUGAGCUUGAUUGAGACAGAAUGAAGAGGACAGUGCUGAACCUCAUUUCUUCUCUCUAAAAUACAAACUGACAAGUGUCUUUCACAUAUGUUCGUAAUAAGCUUGUGUAAGUAAAAUUAAACGUUCACAUAUCUUUUGUGAGUUUGUUAUUUGAGAUGCAGAAUGCAGGGAAAGUGGCUGCGUAGACAGACACUGCAGUGCUGGGGAAGAUUGUGGGUGUUUAUAGGGAUUUGGAUGGAUAAAUAUGAAUUUGUAGAUAAAGUGUAACAGUGCCAAACAGCAUUUCCCAUAGUUUACAUCCUUGUUUAUGUCCUUGCUAA